This 460-nucleotide ribosomal RNA is filed under the name uncultured bacterium. Its description in RNAcentral is "partial 16S ribosomal RNA". It matches the Rfam family "Bacterial small subunit ribosomal RNA", at positions 338 to 795 of the family's 1533-position model. The record is from RNAcentral.
CCUACGGGUGGCAGCAGUGAGGAAUAUUGGUCAAUGGGCGCGAGCCUGAACCAGCCAAGUAGCGUGCAGGAUGACUGCCCUACGGGUUGUAAACUUCUUUUAUAAAGGAAUAAAGUGAGGCACGUGUGCCUUUUUGUAUGUACUUUAUGAAUAAGGAUCGGCUAACUCCGUGCCAGCAGCCGCGGUAAUACGGAGGAUCCGAGCGUUAUCCGGAUUUAUUGGGUUUAAAGGGAGCGUAGAUGGGUUGUUAAGUCAGUUGUGAAAGUUUGCGGCUCAACCGUAAAAUUGCAAUUGAUACUGGUCGGCUUGAGUACAGUUGAGGUAGGCGGAAUGCGUGGUGUAGCGGUGAAAUGCUUAGAGAUCACACAGAACUCCGAUUGCGAAGGCAGCUUACUAAGCUGCCACUGACAUUGAGGCUCGAAAGUGUGGGUAGCAAACAGGAUUAGAUACCCUAGUAGUC